RNAcentral lists this ribosomal RNA (466 nucleotides) under uncultured bacterium. Its description in RNAcentral is "partial 16S ribosomal RNA". It matches the Rfam family "Bacterial small subunit ribosomal RNA", at positions 28 to 507 of the family's 1533-position model. The record is from RNAcentral.
GAUGAACGCUGGCGGCGUGCUUAACACAUGCAAGUCGAACGGUGAAGCCAAGCUUGCUUGGUGGAUCAGUGGCGAACGGGUGAGUAACACGUGAGCAACCUGCCCUGGACUCUGGGAUAAGCGCUGGAAACGGCGUCUAAUACUGGAUAUGAGCCUCUUCCGCAUGGUGGGGGUUGGAAAGAUUUUUUGGUCUGGGAUGGGCUCGCGGCCUAUCAGCUUGUUGGUGAGGUAAUGGCUCACCAAGGCGUCGACGGGUAGCCGGCCUGAGAGGGUGACCGGCCACACUGGGACUGAGACACGGCCCAGACUCCUACGGGAGGCAGCAGUGGGGAAUAUUGCACAACGGGCGAAAGCCUGAUGCAGCAACGCCGCGUGAGGGAUGACGGCCUUCGGGUUGUAAACCUCUUUUAGCAGGGAAGAAGCGAAAGUGAUGGUACCUGCAGAAAAAGCGCCGGCUAACUACGUG